Molecule: microRNA precursor, 210 nt
Organism: Oryza sativa Indica Group (long-grained rice)
Lineage: Eukaryota; Viridiplantae; Streptophyta; Magnoliopsida; Poales; Poaceae
Rfam family: MIR812 microRNA precursor family
Source: Rfam
AAUAAGUACAGUUUUACACUGUUCACGUCAAACGUUUGAUCGCUCGUCUUAUUUGAAUUUUUUUCUAUGAUUAGUAUUUUUGUUGUUAGUAGAUGAUAAAAUAUAAAUAGUAUUUUAUGUGUGACUAACUUUUUUUAAAUAUUUUCAUAAAUUUUUCAAAUAAUACGGAUGGUCAAACCUUCGACACGGAUUCCCACGGCUGCACUUAUU